Long non-coding RNA from Cucumis melo (muskmelon), 1131 nucleotides. RefSeq lists it as uncharacterized. NCBI's taxonomy places the organism in Eukaryota, Viridiplantae, Streptophyta, Magnoliopsida, Cucurbitales, Cucurbitaceae. The transcript has 3 exons. The record is from RefSeq and is a predicted model, not a curated record.
UUUCUCUCCAUCUCCACACAUUUUCCAUCCACGAAAACCUAACUAAAACCAUAGCAUCCACAACAGCGACAAGCAAUGCAAAAUGACGGAAGCCACGAAUGACUACGGCUGCUGAUAACCUUCAACGACGACCAACUCUAACGAUGACUGCUGAUGAACUUCGACGAUGAUCGACUUUGCGGACGGCUGCCGAUGAACUUUAACGAAGAUCGAUGCUAACGAUGACCCUCGAUGCAAAUAGAUCAGCUACACUCAAACGGCUACACGCGAAUAGCUCCACACUCGAACUUCUGAGAUCUUCAUCACUUUCAUCGGUUAGCCGCAUGAACGUCACAGAGUAGGCUACAACAUGAAAAAGGAUGGAAUGAAACUCGUGAUUUGACUAGAAAAGAAAAACCUUGCAUCUUUGCCCUAGGCUUUCAAAAGCAUUCUCAUUCAGAUUAGGGGCUUUAAACAGCAAUGGUUGUCUAUUACGUUCUCAAAGGCUAUUUUUCUUUGCAAUGGUCUUGUUGCAAUUCUUACUAGGUUGUUUGGGAAUGUACUAGUCGAUAGUCUGUCUCUUGGACCAGUGGCACCUUUUGAUGUUGUUGCAUGCUUUCUUGCCAUUGGUAUGACCAUCAUUAUGACAUCAUGGACUGAGAACUAUAGGGAUCCAUCAGAGAGAAAGGAUUUGCUCACCCAGUUCAGCGUGGCUGCUGUUGCCAUUGCACUUGAUGAGAAGAUCGCGCUGCUAGGUGCAAUACAGUCUAUUUAAAGGUUCAAUGUAUUGCAGGCUUCGUGAAUUGAAACAGCUUGGUGAUUACUUUUGUAUGUUUAUUCAUUUUUGUGAAUGAUGUUCCGUAUUUGUUAAUCCUUGAAUUUGAGGGUGCUACAUUCACAAAUAUGAAUAUGUAUUUAGUAGGUGUGCAUAUGAUACUAUCAGGCUAGCUAUUUGAAAUCAGAAAUUGAUGUUUAGUCAAAUAUUGUUGGGGAUGUCCUGAUUAUAAUCAAAGUUUUAAGUUUAGUAAAUUGGUAUUAUUGAUGGAAGCUUGUGCUUCACUCGUUGUUUGGUUUGGAGGUUUUGGACUAUACAUUGACAUGUUUAUGAAAAUUACAUUAUGAACUUGUUGAUCACAAUUAUAUUAUGAACAA